RNA transcript from Myotis myotis, 4452 nucleotides. It is a transcript of the gene named tRNA splicing endonuclease subunit 15, with no coding region annotated. Lineage: Eukaryota; Metazoa; Chordata; Mammalia; Chiroptera; Vespertilionidae. The record is from RefSeq and is a predicted model, not a curated record. The transcript is spliced from 8 exons.
UGCUUCCGGCCGGGCGCGGGCGCGGCGCACAGCUUGCGCGCACCACUGCCCGGCAUGGAAGAGCGCGGCGACUCCGAGCCCUCCCCGGGCUGCAGCGGCCAGGCCCCGGCCGGCGCUCGCGGCGAAGGCGGUGGCGACGGUGGCGGUGGCGGCGCCCAUCCAUGGGCUCCGGAGGACGCCUGGAUGGGCACCCACCCAAAGUAUUUAGAAAUGAUGGAAUUAGAUAUAGGAGAUGCUACUCAAGUUUAUAUAGCAUUCUUGGUUUACCUGGACCUCAUGGAGAGUAAAAGUUGGCAUGAGGUAAACUGUGUGGGAUUGCCGGACCUCCAGCUCAUCUGCCUGGUUGGUACUGAGAUAGAAGGAGAAGGGCUACAGACUGUGGUGCCUACAUCCAUCAAUGCUUCCCUCAGCCAUAACAGGAUAAGGGAGAUCUUGAAGGCAUCUCGAAAAUUGCAAGGUGAUCCAGAUUUGCCGAUGUCUUUUACUUUGGCCAUAGUGGAGUCCGAUUCCACAAUAGUCUAUUAUAAACUUACUGAUGGAUUUAUGCUGCCAGACCCUCAGCCAGCCAGAUACCCGCUAAUGUGAAUAAAGGUCCAGAACAGUUUGGAAAGGAGACAACCCAGCUGUAUCUGUCUCAUUUUAGUGGACAACUAGAAAUUUCAGGCUCAGGUUACAUAGCCAGAGACUCCCAUCCUGAAACACUUGCUGAACUGGCUGCUUACCACUGGUGAAAGACGCAAAUUGCUGCUGGAAUACACAUGCACUGUUCCAUAGGAGGGCAGCCCUCUCCAGACUGGUGAUGUUUUGUGGAUUGACAUUUGUGUGUAGACCACACUUUGAGUAGCAUGUAUUAGAGUUCAGAUGACAUGUGCUGAGAACCUGCACUCCAACAGUAGCCCAGACUUGGAGUCCUUAUUCUGGGAAUCAGGUCAACAGAGCCUCCACCUUCUGGAAUGUUGGUUCCAGUGUCAGGAAGAAGAAAGGACUGUAGUGUCUGCAAUAAAAUGCUUCCAGCAGAAGCAGCAUAUGGCACCCCUGCCCACAUUUUGUUGGCCAAAGCAAGUCACAUGGCCGGCCAUGAUCAACUUCCGGAAGGAGAGGAUGUGAAUUCUACCAUGUUCCUGGACAAGUAGGAGGAAUAGUCAGAGAACAGCAUUUCCAGGUAAUGGAAAGGAGAGGAGAGACAGCACGGAGGCAGAUUUAACAACUGAUUAGCUGUGGGAAUAGAGGAGUUAAAGCUCAACCUAUAUUGAGUCACUUUAAGUUUCAUAUUGCAAUGGGAAGAUAGUGAGAGGAUGUUGCAAGAAGGACAGCGCUAAACCACCAAGGUGGGAAAAGGGCCAACCUAGGAGCUAGGAGGAGAGGAGAGUUUGGAAGACAAACUUUCCCCGACUUUUCUGCUUAGACUAUGGGUUAGCAUCUCAGAAGGAAAAUCUUUUAUGAGUCAAGAGCGUAGGACCACUGUAGACCUCCCUCCCCUCCCUCUUCUGAUGCAUCUGGGCUGUACGCAGAGUAUGUUGUCCUAGUCUUAACUUCCUAAGAAUGGGGAAAAGAAAGCAUUUGUGCCUACCGUGUAGGGGAUUUGGUUGGGUCCUGCGAGAAUCUUUUGAAACAAGCUGUUAAAACAUGGACUCUCGGGUGGUGCUGGAUUUGUGAGGAACCUGGGGUGGAUAACUAUCUAGUCGGAUCAUGACCUGGAGUAUUUGUAGACCUAGGGGCACUUGCUACAUUAACAUGGUUGGGGGGCAGACAUCAGCCCAUGCUGGCAUUGGCUGACUUGAGCGUCCUCCUGCAGUGCCCGUGUUCCACACAAGUCACCACCAUGUCCUCCUAAUCCCCGGCCAAGUGCUCCUUCAGAUCUGAAUCUCUCGGCUAUUCCACUUGGGACGUGGAAGAUUCUUGGUUCUGUGCCUCAACUCAACAGGCGUGUGAGGGAACUUUAAGGCUGUCUCAGGUCCUCUCCAUCUCGAUUUGCUUUCCCUGUUGUCACCACAAAAGGCUGUGUGGGUGACUGUCAGAGACUUUAUCUGAGCCUGGAGGCAGCAGUGGGAGUUUGGGCAUGGGUGCUGGCCACAAAAACCCACACGUGAAUGAGGGGGAUCCCCCAAUUUCCUGUUGUCUCCUCUGCUCCAGAAACUCGGACGGGGUCAGGGCAAAGGGAAGGGAACUGGGCCUCUGCUCGGUGACCCAUGCAAGGGCCUAAUUUUUCCAUGUUUGCUCUCACCUGUCCCUGCCAGGUUUCUCCCUCUAGUUUUAUCUUAGGGCUAGAAACAAAUCUAUGACCAUUUCUGAUCGAAUUUCUUCCAAACAUACUGUUUUUGCCAACAUUUCAGGUUUUGAAAUUCAAAAGGCAAGAAUUUGCCUCUUUUGCUCUAUAGUAUAAUCCCAUGCCCAGGCACUGUGCCAGGAAGCCUGUAUGGGAAAAGGUUCUCAGGUAACAAGAAUUACUGAGGGGAAAACAUAGCAGUUCACAUAUCAAAAUAUUUUCCGACUACAUUCACAAACAUGUUAAUUAUCAUUAAUGUGCAUAUUUCUCUCAUAAGAAUUUUUUUAGGCAUAUCAGGCGGCAUCCGACCUAUUGGUGAUAUAGUACUUGGCCCAGAGUAAGAGCUCCAUAGUAUUUUAUUUGAUUGCAUUUAAAUGUCCACAGGUGGACUACUUUUCGCCCAGUGCUCUCUCUGCCACUAUAAGAUCAGGGCAAGGAUCAGCUGUCCUUGUUCUAUCAACCGUGUAGCAAAGGAGGAGCUGUGUUUCUUGGGCAGUGAGAGAGCUUACCCCAUGAUAAAUGCUUCUUUGAACAUGCUUAUGCUGUGAAAUCCAUGAGGGCUUCACUUCUGUAAAGGGAGGAGAGGACCUGUGCUCUCCUCAUCCUUCAAUGACCUGAAGAUUUUGCGAUGCCCCAGACCUUAAAACACUGUGUGUUUGCCGACAUUGCUUAUUUUUUAUUACCUCAUAUUUUUUUAGUAGUCAUUCUUUAGGCAAGGAAUGAGAAUUUGCAGCUUCUAAUUGUUUCCUGGCAUGAACCUAGUACCUUUUUAGCUUGUUUGUUUUUUUCUUCUUCUUCUGGCUGCACAGAACAUUUCUCUAAAUAUAGAAUGGUGCUUGCUAUGGACAAGGCUGGAAUAAGAUAAAAUUUUCUUUUCAAUCAAUUCCCAUGCAUCUUCUAGUGAGCACUAGGUACUGUUCUUUUCUCAGAGUGGCAAGAGUGGGCAGCAGAAGGGAGUGAUAUGGAGUGGUGGAGCUUUCUAAAGCAGAAGUCCAUCACUGCAAAGCCCUCUGAGGAGACAGCGAGGCCAAGGUGGCCGAUGCUUUGGGGCUGGCUCUCCUGUGACCUCAGGUGAGCCACACGGUAAUGGGGUGAUGGGCAGCAGCACAUACCUGCCCUUUGGAGGCAGGGCAGGUAGCAAAAGGGGUGCAGGCUUCAACAGCCCUGAUUGGAUCUCCUGCUGUGCCACACAGUUAAGGGUGACCUUGGAUAAGUUGUUUAACCUCAUCUACAAAAUGGGUGGUACUAAUAAAACCUGGCUCUUAGAGCCCUCAUGCGGGUUAAACGAGAUGAAUAUGUAUAAAUUAUUUGGCAAACUUUCAAGAAAUGGUAGCUAUUAUUUUUUGUAGCUGAUAUUUUAUAGCAUUAAUGUUUCAAAUAUGACCAUAUUUUUAGUUUUGUUUCUGCGGGAAGUUAUUUAUGUAAAUUCAUUUAUAAUAUUAACCAAAAGCAGCUCUCACAUACCUUGUGAAUCAGAUACAAAUCUUUAUUACCUUCAUUUAUUCUGGUGGGAGGGUUUUAUUAUUAGAGGCAGUGCCGGCUAAUGGUUAGAGCAGGGGCUUUGGCACUAUAGUCUUUUGGGCUCAAAUCUUGAUGUGUGAUCUUGAGCAAGUUAAUUAACUUCUCUGAGACACAAUCCUUUGUCUGCAAUUCCAAAAUAAGACUACGCCACUUAGUCUUCCUAUUUGGUACUGAAAUACUGGACUCCCCGGACUCUGAUGGGGGUUUUGCAAUACAUGCUACAUGUACGCUGUUUAUUAAAUCUGAAUUAUGAAUUUUAAAACUCAUCUGGCUCCAAGGGUUUUGGUACAGAAUAUGUGAUACACCCUCAUAGGAUUAUCUUGAGUUACAUCAACUUCAUGUAAGCCUUUUGGAACCUUAUUAGCUAUUAUUGUCAUCCUUGGAACAAUCCUUUGAGGCAGCAAUUAUGAUCCCGAUUUACAGAUGAAGAAAAUCAAGCACAGAGAAGUGAAAUUGCCACAUAGUUCAUAUGUGGUAGAGCUGGAAUCCAAGUAGGAAUUUCUGACUCAAAGCCUAUGCAUUCUACUGAAACAGAUUAAUUUCUAGGGCCCUGUACAUGCUCACCCCCAAUUAAGAUUCCACUUAGAGAGGUUAGGGUAUAUAGUUAAACACCAUCAGCGAGGGCUGCUCCCUUUGGACAUCUCUACAGGCAGCCCUGCUCUGGU